This 2143-nucleotide long non-coding RNA is filed under the name Nicotiana benthamiana. Its description in RNAcentral is "long non-coding RNA (NBEN_LNC042393)". Lineage: Eukaryota; Viridiplantae; Streptophyta; Magnoliopsida; Solanales; Solanaceae. The record is from RNAcentral.
AGAGAGAUGGGUGAUACUUUCCGGCUGUUAUGCGGUAGUUGAAGAUUUUCAGUAGAUGUAGUCGUUCGGGGGUCAGAUGAAAAAUAUCUUUUCCAUGUGAAGGAAGAUGAUCUCGCCUGUUUGGUUUUUGUCAAAAUGAAAAAGAAUGGUUGCUUCUCUUUGUGUAGAAGAUGAUAGUUUUUGUGUGUGUCUCUUUGAUAAGAAAAUAGUGGAUUCUAGUCAAGCUUAAGGAUCUUUUUUGUGUUCUUCUUCAUGAAGAAGAAAGGUGGUCACCGGUCCUUUUUUUCUGAAGGUUCUGGUGUUCUUUUGUUGAAGAAGAAGAUAGCUCCUAGGAUCGUUUGGUAUGAGGGCCGUUUUCUGGGUGUUCAGCCGCUGCUCAUGCUUCCCUUCAGGCUAGCUUAUUUUUUUGGGUGUGAUCUUGUGUGUGUUUUCCUUAGCUGGUCAGCAUUAGCGGUGUAGGAUCUAGGUUUAUAUUUUGUCAUUUUUGCUCAUUAAUCCUUAGGUCUUUUGUGUAUUAAGUCUCUAUGGUCUUUUUAUUUAUUUUUGUUCCAAAGAACAGUCUAGAAGGGUCCCUAGGAUUAGCUUAAUGAGUAUUAGAUAUUGAGCUUAAGGAAAGGGCUAGAAACUUGGGCCUUUAUGACUAGCUAUAUUUAAAAUUAGCUUAAUUAACUAAAAGUAUUAUCAGAAAUUAUUAAUUAGUUCUACUUAAGUAAAAAAUAAUUAUUAAAAUAAGACUGACCAGUAAAACAAAACUAUUUUUUUGGUAUUUUUUUAAGACUAAAAAUGACUACAAAAUAUUGAUGAAUCUAUUUUUUUAAUUUUUAUUUUCUUGUACUAAAUUAAAAGUAAAAGAGUAAAAAUGAGUUGAAAUAGCUAUAUUAGGCUUAAAUUAAAUAUUUACGUGCUAAAAUAUGAAAAAUCUUAGGGAGGGUCAAAAAUCACAUGUCUACAAGUACCGCACCGAUACUGAACCAGUAUAAAAACUACGAGCCUACUUUACUUUUCUGUUUGCGCAGUUUAAAUUCUUCUGCGAUUAAUUCCUGUGAAAAGUCUAGUCGACUAAUUUAAUUUCUUACAUAGUCAACUAAUUUGUGCAAAUCGGCUACAAUUCACUCCUUAGGGUGCUGACUGUUAAGUUUAAAAUUUUAAUAAAAAUUAAUAAUCAAAAGAAACCUUGAAUAAUGACAUCUCAUUGUGUACAGAUUCAAAGAUCAAUGGCAUUAAUGAAAGGAAAGAAGAUCAUAUUGGAAAUGAUAGGAGCUCAACAGCUAUGUAUUUUGAACGUUCCAUCAAAUGGAAAGAGAAUCAAUAAAUCAAAGAACAAUGAAGGAAAGUCAAUCAAUCAGACUUGCUAAAGAUCCUCAAGCGCGCAGGAAAGGAAAGAGAGCUAAUCACAGCUAGAGAACCAAUCAAGAACAAUUUGCGAAAGCUUUAAUCAAGGAUAAAUGGAAGAACCAAUUCGUCAAAAUUAAAGAUUAAUCUAGUUACCUUUUCAAGUUAGAUUCCUGAGGCUACCCUUAGGUCUCACUCUUAGAUGUAUAUGCCUCACAAGGAAAGGCCUCCAAAAUUACUGUUAUGCGAUCCGAGAAGACAAGGAAUUUAAAGACACAUCAAGCUAUAAAAGAAGAAUAAGAAGGGCAUCGAAGAGCACGCAACUUAAUAUUUGUUUUUACAACUUUCUAGUUCUAAGCUCAAACAAUAUAUUGUUGAUUCGCAAAAGAUAUGAAGAGUUAGAAUACAAAACAAGAGUUGUGUCAACAUUAGAAAGAAACAUUGUUGAUGUAUAUUAUUGGUGGUGAACGUACUAAAAUCAUCACUACUGUAAAAGCUUACUGAAGAUCUAAGAUAACCCUUAUGACACAAGGGAACUGGACGUAAGUACCAUACCGGUACUAAAUCAGUGUAAAAACUGCUACGCCUCUUUUACUUUUCUGUUUACUCAGUUUAAUUUAUCUACGAUUAAUUCCUAUGUAAAGUCUAGUCGAUUAAUUUCUUACAUAAUCAACUAAGUUGUACAAAUAGGCUACAAUUCACUCCUCAGGGUGCUGACUGUUAAGUUUAUAAUUUUAAUAAAAAUUAAUAAUCAAAAGAAAGCUUGAAUAAUGACAUCUCAUUGUGUACAGAUUCAAAGAGCAAUGGCAUU